CCCUUAGAUGUUCUGGGCAGCACGCGCGCGACAAUGGUCUUCGCAAACGGAUGCAUUCUCGAAGGAGAAUGCCAAUCUUGGAAUCUAUGCCUUGGUCGGGACAGUUGCUUGCAAUUUUUCGACUCGAACCAGGAAUUCCUUGUAAUCGUGAUUCAUCACAUCACGAUGAAUACGUCCCUGCCCUUUGUACACACCGCCCGUCGCUCCUACCGAUCGAAGAGUUAGGUGAAUUGUUUUGAUCGAUAAGAUUUGACUAUGGUCAACUCUCGUUGUGAAAUUCUGUGAAUCUGACUGUUUAGAGGAAGGAAAAGUCGUAACA
This 319-nucleotide ribosomal RNA is filed under the name uncultured eukaryote. Its description in RNAcentral is "partial 18S ribosomal RNA". It matches the Rfam family "Eukaryotic small subunit ribosomal RNA", at positions 1470 to 1796 of the family's 1831-position model. The record is from RNAcentral.